Mesocricetus auratus (golden hamster) is the source of this 119-nucleotide ribosomal RNA. The record is from Ensembl. NCBI's taxonomy places the organism in Eukaryota, Metazoa, Chordata, Mammalia, Rodentia, Cricetidae.
GUCUACGGCCAUACCACCCUGAACGUGCCUGAUCUCGUCUGAUCUCGGAAGCUAAGCAGGGUUGGGCCUGGUUAGUACUUGGAUGGGAGAAGACAUGACUCCAGGCCACACUGUAGAAA